AUGGAUCUGCUCAUGCUCUCAGCAGGAAUACUGGAUGUUCUCGAAGCUUUGCCAUACACACAUGCUACUUUUGGCACUUGCGUGGGCUCCAGUUUGUGUCAAUGCAAUUUGCAUCUGUCAGCGGAUUAUGGCGAUCAGGAACCAGGUGCUAUAAUGCACCAAUGCUGCUUUCUGAUGAUGACGGCAAUGCCAAACGCACCAUCACCUGAGGUCUAUGCGAUUGGCGGGGAUGGAACCAUGAGAGGAGCAGUGGCGAUAUUCAAAGAGUUUAAACGGCAUGGUUUGAGGAUAUCCAUUACAUGGAUCCCAAAAACUGUGGACAUUGGCAUCAUAGACAGGUAG
This 342-nucleotide ribosomal RNA is filed under the name Triticum aestivum (bread wheat). RNAcentral's name for it is "partial small subunit ribosomal RNA". The record is from RNAcentral. Lineage: Eukaryota; Viridiplantae; Streptophyta; Magnoliopsida; Poales; Poaceae.